Small nuclear RNA from Ailuropoda melanoleuca (giant panda), 101 nucleotides. The record is from Ensembl. Lineage: Eukaryota; Metazoa; Chordata; Mammalia; Carnivora; Ursidae.
GUGCUUGCUUCUGCAGCACGUAUACUAAAACUGGAACGAUACAGAGAAGAUGGCCCCUGCACAAGGAUGACACACAUGUUCGUGAGGUGCUCCAUAAAAAU